Molecule: ribosomal RNA, 253 nt
Filed under: uncultured bacterium
Lineage: Bacteria
Description: partial 16S ribosomal RNA
Rfam family: Bacterial small subunit ribosomal RNA
Source: RNAcentral
UACGGAGGGGGCAAGCGUUAUUCGGAAUUAUUGGGCGUAAAGGGCGCGUAGGCGGUUUGUCGCGUCUGCCGUGAAAGUCCGGGGCUCAACUCCGGAUCUGCGGUGGGUACGGGCAGACUAGAGUGAUGUAGGGGAGACUGGAAUUCCUGGUGUAGCGGUGAAAUGCGCAGAUAUCAGGAGGAACACCGAUGGCGAAGGCAGGUCUCUGGGCAUUAACUGACGCUGAGGAGCGAAAGCAUGGGGAGCGAACAGG